Molecule: long non-coding RNA, 976 nt
Organism: Sipha flava (yellow sugarcane aphid)
Lineage: Eukaryota; Metazoa; Arthropoda; Insecta; Hemiptera; Aphididae
Exons: 4
Source: RefSeq, a predicted model, not a curated record
CGAGACCAAGAUUAAACUUUUUGGUUCAUCUACAUCUUCCAAACAAAAACCAAAUAAUAUCCCAUACCGUUGGAAAAAUGAAUUAAGUCCAGAAGAAAAACUAACUGAAUUACAAAAUAAAAUUGAACUGGCUGAAGUAGAAUAUUCUGCUUUAAAAGAGAGCUGUAAUGUUCAGAUAAUGAUCAAUGAAGAAAAUGUACAACGCUUUGUCAAAGCAUUAAAUAAUAUGAAAGAACGGUUAUUAAUCAAAUGAAGUAUAUCACAAAAGCAUUUGAUUAUUAUCUCAGCUUUUAGUUCAGUCAGUCAAAUAAUCUGGAUACAGAACAUCAGUAAUCAUAUGAAUGAAGCAUUGUCUAAAGAAAUCGGAGACUCCACUAUUAUGCAGGCAGUUUUAUCUGGCAAGGCUUCUUCAAAUUUUAGAGGAUGUGCAUAAAUAAUACUGAUGUAACAGCAAAAAGUGAAUAAAUUACAACAGAAACUAAACAAAGUUCGAUAAUAACCUAAUGACUCAAAAAUCCAAGAUGCUAAAAAUUCAAAUGUAAUUAUCAGAGAAACGGAGAAAGCACGCAAAGAGAUUACAGACAAAGCAUUAAAGGAGCACACAACACAAAAAAUAAGUAUUUUUUAUAUGAAAGAAUGUUCAAUUCUAAUGAUAAUGGUAUAGGUUUUACGUUUCUAUUCACAUUAUUCAUUAUGAGCAAUUGAAAAAAGACGUGUGACGUCACUGGGCCUCAGUCAUCGUAAUCGCCUAUCUUAUACGUGUAAAAGUUCCUCGCUUCACACAACGAUUUAUCAACCUAAAAAUUUUCUUUUUAAAAUUUAAUUGACGUAUAAAUGUGUGGUUUUAUGUGUUUAAGACGAUGCAAGAAUCAGAAUUUCAAUAUGACGUUUAGUUUUUUAAGUAUUAAAAAUCUUAAAACAGUAAUUUUGUUUAAACGGCACGUCAUGGCGAGCUGCGCGCGGCGUUCGGACUACG